CAGAGUUGUAAAACUCCCAAACCCAUGUGAACAUACCUGUUGCCUCGGCGGACCUGCCCUGUAGCUACCCUGUAGCCGCUCUGUGGUGCCGCCGAAGGACCAUCAAACUCUUUUAUCUCUGUAUCUCUGAGUAAAAAAACAAAUAAGUUA
Molecule: unclassified non-coding RNA, 150 nt
Filed under: uncultured Xylariaceae
Lineage: Eukaryota; Fungi; Ascomycota; Sordariomycetes; Xylariales; Xylariaceae
Description: sequence contains ITS1
Source: RNAcentral